Long non-coding RNA from Hordeum vulgare subsp. vulgare (domesticated barley), 1328 nucleotides. RefSeq lists it as uncharacterized. The transcript has 5 exons. NCBI's taxonomy places the organism in Eukaryota, Viridiplantae, Streptophyta, Magnoliopsida, Poales, Poaceae. The record is from RefSeq and is a predicted model, not a curated record.
GAUAAAAAAACACCACAGCUAGCGCGCACCAGCGCCCCUCCCUCUCGCGACUGAAAAUAGCUAGGGUUCCACCGCGAGUCUCCUAGCCGCCGUCGUGAGCCUCCCAGCCGCUGUCGCGAGCCUCUCCGCCGCCGCUGUCGCGAGCCUCUCCGCCGCCGCCGGUGCCCUCCAUCGUCGCGAGCCGUUGCCAGUGCCCUCCCCGGCUGCCGCCACUGGUGCUCUCCCAGCCACUGUCGUCCGUCUGCAGACGCCAUGGAGCCGGCGGUGCGCAUGCAGCUGGCAGGGCUCGGUGAGGACAACCGCCAGGAGGGGCUGUGCAGGCGGCCGUCGCCCCAUCCGCUCCGUCCUCUCCUCGAGGCCCAGUUCGAGCGGGCAACAUGGCGGUCCCAGAUUCGCGGCGGAUCUGGCUCGCCCACCUCUUUCCCAGUCUGAGAUACUGAAGGUCUACCUCGGCAACGCCCCAGCCGGAACAGUCAUGACCACGUACAUAUUGGGGACAAGCUCUUGACGACUCCACCGUUUGAUGAUGAUCUAGCUAUUGGGCGUUCAGGACCUGAGUGUACUGCAGGAAAAGACCAUGGAGAUGGACAAGGAAAAGAUGUAUCAUACAGUUUAUCAAGGAAGGUCUAGGAACAUGCUGUGAGUUGAGAUCAGCAUGGCCUGCAACCACAACAAGACAAGACACCUACCAUGCAUAUAUAUUUUCCUUUCAAGUAGCAACAACUUGACUAUGUUGUCUAUGACAUAACAAGGACGAGAUAUGACAACCUUUUGCAUGUGUCAACAGUAAGCUCUCUUAUGUUUUGUUGUAAAAAAUAGUUAACCUCCAGAAUUAUUAUGUUUUAUUUAUUUUCUCACAUCAAGUGUGCUUGAGUGAAAUCAGAUGGUGGCUCUUUGGAACGAACGGUCAAGAGUAAACGGAAGAAACAUCUGUUUUCUCAUACUUUAUUUCAUUUCUUUUUCUCAGAUUCUACUCCAAAAUAGUUUUUGGUUUGGAGCAUUUUCACUGGUUCUUUCCAAGUUUCAUUCUUCUCUUCAUUGUCUAUCGGUUCUCUAUCAGAAUAUUAUACUUAGUAUACUCUUGGUUUCCUAAGUUAUAUGAUUUAUUUGUUGCUAGGAUUAUUCUGACAUGUGUAAGCCUUGAUUUUGAUGAACAAGAGCCUGUUUUUUGGCACGACUCCCAGCUGCAGGAGAGCAUCAAGAUCUACUGCGCGGUGAACGAUGGCAUCAUCAACCUCGUGGAUGUGAAUGUUUUCGUUUUCCCUGUGUUUUCUUCAGCCACCGGCGUCGUUUCUUGUGACGAUGGAAGAGUACAUCAGAGAAGCUCC